This 883-nucleotide unclassified non-coding RNA is filed under the name Hevea brasiliensis (rubber tree). The record is from RNAcentral. Lineage: Eukaryota; Viridiplantae; Streptophyta; Magnoliopsida; Malpighiales; Euphorbiaceae.
UAUAUAGAAGAAAGAAAAAACCAUUCUAGCAACAUUGAUAUGUUCGCUAAACUUCAUCAAACCCAAAAUUUCCAGCUCCACCACCAAUUGACAGUACCCACCGCAGCGCUGCCGUCCUCCUCCGCCAACGAUGGCGCUACCAUUGAAGUCAUCCGCCGUUCACGUGGCCGUCCACCCGGCUCGAAAAACAAAUCCAAAUCCAAACUCAAACCCAGUUUCAUCAUAGCAACACGUGAUGGUCACGUGGAAAAACCCACUAUGAGUCCUUACAUCCUCGAAAUUCCCAUCGGGAUUGAUAUUAUCGAUUCGAUCUAUCGAUUUUGCGGGAAUCAAAAUUUGGGUCUAUGUAUUCUAAACGGGUCGGGUACUGUUACUAAUGUUACACUUAAACAGCCUUCAAUUAACCCAUCUGAUUCUACAAUUACCUUCCAUGGAAGCUUCACUAUUCUUUCGAUUUCAGCUACAAUUAUACCGAGUGAUUUUUCUCCGAUUCCGAACGGGUUCAGUAUUUCAUUAGCCGGUCCACAAGGUCAAGUUGUUGGUGGACCGGUAAUUGGACCGCUUUUUUCAGCUGGACCGGUUUAUUUAAUUGCAACGACGUUUAAUAAUCCUUUUUAUCACAAAUUUCCGGCGGAGGACGACGGCGAGGGCGGUCAGUCGCCGGAUUCCGGCGCCGGAGAUAGUGGGCAGCCACCGGAAUCAAAUCAGCGUGAGUAUUGUUAUAGUUCUAAUCAGUUGCCAUCGGAUGUGAUAUGGGCACCUACCCCUAGACAACUACUGCCUUACUAAAAAUCGUAUUCAAAAUAUGAAAUUUACGGAUUUAGAUUUAAAAUUUAUUUUGUGUUUUUGUGAGUUUAAAAUAUAUGUUUUAUUCUUAUUUAGA